UGGGGAAUAUUGCACAAUGGGCGAAAGCCUGAUGCAGCAACGCCGCGUGAGUGAUGAAGGCCUUCGGGUUGUAAAGCUCUGUCUUUUGGGACGAUAAUGACGGUACCAAAGGAGGAAGCCACGGCUAACUACGUGCCAGCAGCCGCGGUAAUACGUAGGUGGCAAGCGUUGUCCGGAUUUACUGGGCGUAAAGGAUGCGUAGGCGGAUUUUUAAGUGAGAUGUGAAAACCCUAAGCUUAACUUGGGGACUGCAUUUCAUACUGGAAAUCUAGAGUGCGGGAGAGGAGAAUGGAAUUCCUAGUGUAGCGGUGAAAUGCGUAGAGAUUAGGAAGAACACCAGUGGCGAAGGCGAUUCUCUGGACCGUAACUGACGCUGAGGCAUGAAAGCGUGGGUAGCAAACAGGAUUAGAUACCCUGGUAGUCCACGCCGUAAACGAUGAGUACUGGGUGUAGGAGGUAUCGACCCCUUCUGUGCCGCAGUUAACGCAAUAAGUACUCCGCCUGGGAAGUACGAUCGCAAGAUUAAAACUCAAAUGAAUUGACGGGGUCAUAGCUGUUUCCU
RNAcentral lists this ribosomal RNA (562 nucleotides) under uncultured bacterium. RNAcentral describes it as "partial 16S ribosomal RNA". It matches the Rfam family "Bacterial small subunit ribosomal RNA", at positions 355 to 1375 of the family's 1533-position model. The record is from RNAcentral.